RNAcentral lists this ribosomal RNA (401 nucleotides) under uncultured archaeon. Its description in RNAcentral is "bacterial SSU rRNA". It matches the Rfam family "Archaeal small subunit ribosomal RNA", at positions 468 to 869 of the family's 1478-position model. The record is from RNAcentral.
CGGUAAUACCAGCUCUCCGAGUGGUAGGGACGAUUAUUGGGCUUAAAGCGUUCGUAGCCGGCCUGGCAAGUCUCUCGUCAAAUCCAGCGACCCAAUCGCUGGGCCGCGGGAGAUACUACUAGGCUUGGGAGCGGGAGAGGUCGACGGUAUUCCCGGGGUAGGAGUGAAAUCCUGUAAUCCCGGGAGGACCACCAGUGGCGAAGGCUGUCGACUAGAACGCGUCCGACGGUGAGGGACGAAAGCUGGGGGAGCGAACCGGAUUAGAUACCCGGGUAGUCCCAGCUGUAAACGAUGCGGGCUAGGUGUCGGUGUGGCUACGAGCCACUCCGGUGCCGCAGGGAAGCUCUUAAGCCCGCCGCCUGGGAAGUACGGUCGCAAGGCUGAAACUUAAAGGAAUUGGC